GCUUCGGGUUGUAAACCUCUUUUAGCAGGGAAGAAGCGAGAGUGACGGUACUGCAGAAAAAGCACCGGGCUAACUACGUGCCAGCAGCCGCGGUAAUACGUAGGGUGCAGCGUUGUCGGGAAUUAUUGGGCGUAAAGAGCUCGUAGGCGGUUUGUCGCGUCUGCUGUGAAAUCCCGAGGCUCAACCUCGGGCUUGCAGUGGGUACGGGCAGACUAGAGUGCGGUAGGGGAGAUUGGAAUUCCUGGUGUAGCGGUGGAAUGCGCAGAUAUCAGGAGGAACACCGAUGGCGAAGGCAGAUCUCUGGGCCGUAACUGACGCUGAGGAGCGAAAGCAUGGGGAGCAAACAGGCUUAGAUACCCUGGUAGUCCAUGCCGUAAACGUUGGGAACUAGAUGUGGGGACCAUUCCACGGUCUCCGUGUCGUAGCUAACGCAUUAAGUUCCCCGCCUGGGGAGUACGGCCGCAAGGCUAAAACUCAAAGGAAUUGACGGGGGCCCGCACAAGCGGCGGAGCAUGCGGAUUAAUUCGAUGCAACGCGAAGAACCUUACCAAGGCUUGACAUAUAGGAGAACGCACUGGAGACAGUGAACUCUUUGGACACUCCUAUACAGGUGGUGCAUGGUUGUCGUCAGCUCGUGUCGUGAGAUGUUGGGUUAAGUCCCGCAACGAGCGCAACCCUCGUCCUAUGUUGCCAGCACGUAAUGGUGGGAACUCAUGGGAUACUGCCGGGGUCAACUCGGAGGAAGGUGGGGAUGAGGUCAAAUCAUCAUGCCCCUUAUGUCUUGGGCUUCACGCAUGCUACAAUGGCCGGUACAAUGGGCUGCGAUACCGUAAGGUGGAGCGAAUCCCAAAAAGCCGGUCUCAGUUCGGAUUGAGGUCUGCAACUCGACCUCAUGAAGUCGGAGUCGCUAGUAAUCGUAGAUCAGCAACGCUACGGUGAAUACGUUCCCGGGCCUUGUACACACCGCCCGUCAAGUCAUGAAAGUCGGUAACACCCGUAG
RNAcentral lists this ribosomal RNA (1000 nucleotides) under Agrococcus baldri. RNAcentral describes it as "bacterial SSU rRNA". It matches the Rfam family "Bacterial small subunit ribosomal RNA", at positions 415 to 1426 of the family's 1533-position model. Lineage: Bacteria; Bacillati; Actinomycetota; Actinomycetes; Micrococcales; Microbacteriaceae. The record is from RNAcentral.